Oceanobacillus oncorhynchi is the source of this 160-nucleotide non-coding RNA. The record is from Rfam. NCBI's taxonomy places the organism in Bacteria, Bacillati, Bacillota, Bacilli, Caryophanales, Bacillaceae.
UAGGGUUAAAGUCCCGAUCUGCGAAGGGAGUAGUAGUGGUUAACCUUAGGAACACGAACUUCAUAGAAGGCUAGAGGUGCUUGGGUAAGACUGCAAAACAAGCCUUACUGCGAAAGGGUGCAUAGAGUAAAUGAAGUGGGGACAUGAAGAAGAAGAGUGU